This 330-nucleotide unclassified non-coding RNA is filed under the name uncultured fungus. RNAcentral's name for it is "partial contains 5.8S ribosomal RNA and internal transcribed spacer 2". The stretch from base 1 to 132 matches the Rfam family "5.8S ribosomal RNA", at positions 22 to 154 of the family's 154-position model. Lineage: Eukaryota; Fungi. The record is from RNAcentral.
UGGUUCUGGCAUCGAUGAAGAACGCAGCGAAAUGCGAUAAGUAAUGCGAAUUGCAGAAUCCGUGAGUCAUCGAAUCUUUGAACGCACAUUGCGCCCUUUGGUAUUCCGAAGGGCAUGCCUAUUCGAGCGUCAUUAUCACCCCUCAAGCCCUUGGCUUGGUGCUGGAUUGGGUAGUCGUAUACCCAUCUCAAAGAUAAUGACGCCGUCCCAGAGGGAAACGGUACGAGGAGCUUCUUGUUAAGCAUGUACUGAAGAUGACUCUGUGGCGGUGGUCUUAACCCCUAUAUUUUUUUAAGUGUUGACCUCGGAUUAGGUAGGAAUACCCGCUGA